This 460-nucleotide ribosomal RNA is filed under the name uncultured bacterium. RNAcentral describes it as "partial 16S ribosomal RNA". It matches the Rfam family "Bacterial small subunit ribosomal RNA", at positions 338 to 795 of the family's 1533-position model. The record is from RNAcentral.
CCUACGGGGGGCAGCAGUGAGGAAUAUUGGUCAAUGGACGAGAGUCUGAACCAGCCAAGUAGCGUGAAGGAUGACUGCCCUAUGGGUUGUAAACUUCUUUUAUAUGGGAAUAAAAUGUUCCACGUGUGGGGUUUUGUAUGUACCAUAUGAAUAAGGAUCGGCUAACUCCGUGCCAGCAGCCGCGGUAAUACGGAGGAUCCGAGCGUUAUCCGGAUUUAUUGGGUUUAAAGGGAGCGUAGGUGGAUUGUUAAGUCAGUUGUGAAAUUUUGCGGCUCAACCGUAAAAUUGCAGUUGAAACUGGCGGUCUUGAGUACAGGAGAGGUAGGCGGAAUUCGUGGUGUAGCGGUGAAAUGCUUAGAUAUCACGAAGAACUCCGAUUGCGAAGGCAGUUCACUGGACUGCAACUGACGCUGAGGCUCGAAAGUGUGGGUAUCAAACAGGAUUAGAUACCCGAGUAGUC